GACGAACGUUGGCGGUGCGCUUAAUGCAUGCAAGUCGAGGGAGAAGGCCCCGAUUCGUAAGAAUCAGGGUUGGAAACCGGCGAACGGGUGCGUAACACGUGAGAAACCUGCCCCGAAGACCGGGAUAGCCCGGGGAAACCCGGAUUAAUACCGGAUACCUUCACGGAGCUGCAUGGCUCCGUGAGGAAAUGGUCCGCCGCUUUGGGAUGGUCUCGCGGCCUAUCAGCUCGUUGGUGAGGUAACGGCUCACCAAGGCUAAGACGGGUAGCUGGUCUGAGAGGACGAUCAGCCACACUGGGACUGAGACACGGCCCAGACUCCUACGGGAGGCAGCAGCAGGGAAUAUUGCACAAUGGGCGAAAGCCUGAUGCAGCGACACCGCGUGCGGGAUGAAGGCCUUCGGGUUGUAAACCGCUUUCAGGAGGGACGAAACUGACGGUACCUCCAGAAGAAGCCCCGGCCAACUACGUG
Molecule: ribosomal RNA, 471 nt
Filed under: uncultured bacterium
Lineage: Bacteria
Description: bacterial SSU rRNA
Rfam family: Bacterial small subunit ribosomal RNA
Source: RNAcentral